UACGAAGGGGGCUAGCGUUGCUCGGAAUCACUGGGCGUAAAGGGUGCGUAGGCGGGUUUUUAAGUCAGAGGUGAAAUCCUGGAGCUCAACUCCAGAACUGCCUUUGAUACUGGGGAUCUCGAGUCCGGGAGAGGUGAGUGGAACUCCGAGUGUAGAGGUGAAAUUCGUAGAUAUUCGGAAGAACACCAGUGGCGAAGGCGGCUCACUGGCCCGGUACUGACGCUGAGGUGCGAAAGCGUGGGGAGCAAACAGG
RNAcentral lists this ribosomal RNA (253 nucleotides) under uncultured bacterium. Its description in RNAcentral is "partial 16S ribosomal RNA". It matches the Rfam family "Bacterial small subunit ribosomal RNA", at positions 524 to 776 of the family's 1533-position model. The record is from RNAcentral.